GGUCGAUUGUCGAGUGGUCUAAACUGUUUACUUUCAAUCACUACAACCCGGGUUCGAAUCCCGCAUUGGACA
RNAcentral lists this transfer RNA (72 nucleotides) under Cordylochernes scorpioides. RNAcentral describes it as "tRNA-Glu". Lineage: Eukaryota; Metazoa; Arthropoda; Arachnida; Pseudoscorpiones; Chernetidae. The record is from RNAcentral.